CCUACGGGUGGCAGCAGUGGGGGAUAUUGCACAAUGGGGGGAACCCUGAUGCAGCGACGCCGCGUGGGUGAAGGAGCGUUUCGGCGCGUAAAGCCCUAUCGGCAGGGAAGAAGGAGGACGGUACCUGACUAAGAAGCCCCGGCUAACUACGUGCCAGCAGCCGCGGUAAUAUGUAGGGGGCAAGCGUUAUCCGGAUUUACUGGGUGUAAAGGGGGCGCAGACGGCAGCGCAAGCCAGGAGUGAAAGCCCGGGGCCCAACCCCGGGACUGCUCUUGGAACUGCGCGGCUGGAGUGCAGGAGGGGCAGGCGGAAUUCCUGGUGUAGCGGUGAAAUGCGUAGAUAUCAGGAGGAACACCGGUUGCGAAGGCAGCUUACCAAUCUAUAUCUGACGUUGAGGCACGAAAGCGUGGGGAGCAAACAGGAUUAGAUACCCCUGUAGUC
RNAcentral lists this ribosomal RNA (441 nucleotides) under uncultured bacterium. Its description in RNAcentral is "partial 16S ribosomal RNA". It matches the Rfam family "Bacterial small subunit ribosomal RNA", at positions 338 to 795 of the family's 1533-position model. The record is from RNAcentral.